This 921-nucleotide long non-coding RNA is filed under the name Prunus persica (peach). Its description in RNAcentral is "long non-coding RNA (PPER_LNC003988)". Lineage: Eukaryota; Viridiplantae; Streptophyta; Magnoliopsida; Rosales; Rosaceae. The record is from RNAcentral.
AUCAAAUCAGGUGAAUUGCACAAGUUUGAUAAUAAGAAGGCUGGUGAAUCCAGUCGCUUUUCACAUUCUGGUGAUCUAAAGAAAGGGAGGUCAUCUCCCCUGAGGCAUUCACGAAGUGCUUGCAUAUCCCCCUAUCGAAAUGAAGCACCUUCUGGAGUCAAAUCAGGUGAAUUGCAGAAGUUUGAGUAUAAGCAGGCUGGUGAAUCCAGUCUCUUUACACGUUCUGGUGAUCUGAAGAAAGGGAGGUUAUCUCCCCUCAGGCAUUCACGAAGUGCUUGCAUAUCCCCAUAUCGAAAUGAAGCACCUUCUGGAGUCAAAUCAGCUGAACUGCAGAAGCUUGAGUACAAGCAGGCUGGUGAGUCACGUCGCUUUUCACAUUCUGGUGAUUUAAAGAAUGGUAGGUCAUCUACCUUCAGUAAUUCACGAAGUGCUUGCGUAUCCCCCUAUCGAAAUGAAGCACCUUGUGGAGUCAAAUCAGGUGAAUUGCAGAAGUUUGAGUAUAAGCAGGCUGGUGAGUCCAAUCGCUUUUCAUAUUCUGGAGAUUUAAAGAAAGGCAGGUCAUCUACCUUCAGUAAUUCACGAAGUGCUUGCAUAUCCCCCUAUAGAAAUGAAGCACCUUGUGGAGUCAAAUCAGGUGAAUUGCAGAAGUCUGAGUAUAAGCAGGCAGGUGCAUCCAGUUGCUUAUCGCAUUCUGGUGAUUUUAAGAAUGGUAGGUCAUCUCCCUUCAGGCAUUCACGAAGUGCUUGCAUAUCCCCUUAUCGAAAUGAAGCACCAAAGUCUCCAUUUCCUGGCGUGGGGUUUCUUGGCAUUCCCAGAGAAGAGAGUGUCAAAGCCAAUAGUAAGUUCAAUCUGCGUAACAAGGGUGGUCACAAAUUUCAGGAAGUGUUAAGCCACCAAAGAAGUAUACAAGGGCCACGCUCU